This 450-nucleotide ribosomal RNA is filed under the name uncultured bacterium. RNAcentral describes it as "partial 16S ribosomal RNA". It matches the Rfam family "Bacterial small subunit ribosomal RNA", at positions 354 to 796 of the family's 1533-position model. The record is from RNAcentral.
GUGGGGAAUAUUGGACAAUGGGCGAAAGCCUGAUCCAGCCAUGCCGCGUGUGUGAAGAAGGUCUUCGGAUUGUAAAGCACUUUAAGUUGUGAGGAAGGGCAGUAAGUUAAUACCUUGCUGUUUUGACGUUACCGACAGAAUAAGAACCGGCUAACUUCGUGCCAGCAGCCGCGGUAAUACGAAGGGUGCAAGCGUUAAUCGGAAUUACUGGGCGUAAAGCGCGCGUAGGUGGUUUUGUAAGUUGGAGGUGAAAUCCCCGGGCUCAACCUGGGAACUGCCUCCAAAACUGCAUGACUAGAGUACGGUAGAGGGUAGUGGAAUUUCCUGUGUAGCGGUGAAAUGCGUAGAUAUAGGAAGGAACACCAGUGGCGAAGGCGACUACCUGGACUGAUACUGACACUGAGGUGCGAAAGCGUGGGGAGCAAACAGGAUUAGAUACCCGUGUAGUCC